RNAcentral lists this ribosomal RNA (433 nucleotides) under uncultured bacterium. RNAcentral describes it as "partial 16S ribosomal RNA". It matches the Rfam family "Bacterial small subunit ribosomal RNA", at positions 29 to 507 of the family's 1533-position model. The record is from RNAcentral.
AACGAACGCUGGCGGCAGGCCUAACACAUGCAAGUCGAGCGAGGACUUCGGUCCUAGCGGCGGACGGGUGAGUAACGCGUGGGAACGUGCCCUUUGCUUCGGAAUAGCCCUGGGAAACUGGGAGUAAUACCGGAUGAGCCCUUUGGGGGAAAGAUUUAUCGGCGAAGGAUCGGCCCGCGUUGGAUUAGGUAGUUGGUGGGGUAAUGGCCUACCAAGCCGACGAUCCAUAGCUGGUUUGAGAGGAUGAUCAGCCACACUGGGACUGAGACACGGCCCAGACUCCUACGGGAGGCAGCAGUGGGGAAUCUUAGACAAUGGGGGAAACCCUGAUCUAGCCAUGCCGCGUGAGCGAUGAAGGCCUUAGGGUUGUAAAGCUCUUUCAGCUGGGAAGAUAGUGACGGUACCAGCAGAAGAAGCCCCGGCUAACUCCGUG